AUUGAACGCUGGCGGCAUGCCUUACACAUGCAAGUCGAACGGCAGCACGGGAGCAAUCCUGGUGGCGAGUGGCGAACGGGUGAGUAAUAUAUCGGAACGUGCCCAGUCGUGGGGAUAACGUAGCGAAAGCUACGCUAAUACCGCAUACGAUCUAUGGAUGAAAGCGGGGGAUCGCAAGACCUCGCGCGAUUGGAGCGGCCGAUAUCAGAUUAGCUAGUUGGUGGGGUAAAGGCUCACCAAGCCAACGAUCUGUAGCUGGUCUGAGAGGACGACCAGCCACACUGGAACUGAGACACGGUCCAGACUCCUACGGGAGGCAGCAGUGGGGAAUUUUGGACAAUGGACGCAAGUCUGAUCCAGCCAUUCCGCGUGCAGGAUGAAGGCCCUCGGGUUGUAAACUGCUUUUGUACGGAACGAAAGGUUUCUAUUAAUACUAGGAGCUCAUGACGGUACCGUAAGAAUAAGCACCGGCUAACUACGUGCCAG
This 486-nucleotide ribosomal RNA is filed under the name uncultured bacterium. RNAcentral's name for it is "bacterial SSU rRNA". It matches the Rfam family "Bacterial small subunit ribosomal RNA", at positions 30 to 511 of the family's 1533-position model. The record is from RNAcentral.